GACGAACGCUGGCGGCGUGCUUAGCACAUGCAAGUCGAACGGAAAGGCCCUGCUUUUGUGGGGUGCUCGAGUGGCGAACGGGUGAGUAACACGUGAGUAACCUGCCCUUGACUUUGGGAUAACUUCAGGAAACUGGGGCUAAUACCGGAUAGGAGCUCCUGCUGCAUGGUGGGGGUUGGAAAGUUUCGGCGGUUGGGGAUGGACUCGCGGCUUAUCAGCUUGUUGGUGGGGUAGUGGCUUACCAAGGCUUUGACGGGUAGCCGGCCUGAGAGGGUGACCGGCCACAUUGGGACUGAGAUACGGCCCAGACUGCUACGGGAGGCAGCAGUGGGGAAUAUUGCACAAUGGGCGGAAGCCUGAUGCAGCAACGCCGCGUGCGGGAUGACGGCCUUCGGGUUGUAAACCGCUUUCGCCUGUGACGAAGCGUGAGUGACGGUAAUGGGUAAAGAAGCACCGGCUAACUACGUG
Molecule: ribosomal RNA, 468 nt
Filed under: uncultured bacterium
Lineage: Bacteria
Description: partial 16S ribosomal RNA
Rfam family: Bacterial small subunit ribosomal RNA
Source: RNAcentral